Molecule: long non-coding RNA, 11477 nt
Filed under: Gallus gallus (chicken)
Lineage: Eukaryota; Metazoa; Chordata; Aves; Galliformes; Phasianidae
Source: RNAcentral
GUAUAAUUCCCAGCAUUUCAGAGGUAGUGUUGGCUGAGAUUAGCAAGACUAACUUAAUAAAGCACUAUCGUAAUUGCAUAUUCACUGGGAAAGGGAAAAGUAAUCAAAUGAAAAAGGACAAAACCGGCAGGGAAAGAAAAUUUAUUUCCAAGCAUCUACGAGAGUGCUACAAACAAUAGAGACUAAAACUCAAAGCAUUUGAAACUUAAAAAACGUAGUUGACAAUGUCCUUCUUAAAAAUCAAACAUAAAAACGUAGAAAAUGCAGUUAUUAAUUCUAAAACUUGCUCAAUAGUGAAACAAGACCAGAUAGAUAGCAUCAAUGAGGAUGGAGUCCUACAAAUGACUUUUUGUUUUUUUUAUUUCCAUUUGUUAAUUUGUAAAUUGAUACUCAUUUCAUUUUUUAAUAUUCAUUUAAAUUUAAAAUGGAGAAAUGUGCAAAUCUAGCAAAAUAUUCUUUGGAUUAUAAACAGAGAAAAAUCAACAACCAAAGAAAUUUGAACCAAGUUAAUAAAGUAAACUAUAGAAUUAUAUAGAAUGCAUACAGCUAUAAUAAAGUGAAAUAUAACAAUAAACAUUAUAGAGCAAAUCUGCUGAUUUAGCAAACUCUGCCUUAUUAAACAUAGGGAUAUAAUGGGACAAGUGAAUAUGUCGUGAUUAUAGAGCUGAAACGUCAUUCAUAAUUUUAAUGAGUUAAAUUUUAAUCUAACUACAUACAUGGGGGUCUUCAGAAAAGCAGUACACCAACAGAUCAGAUUUCCUCUCAGAUCAAGCAGUUGGGUACCUGACUGCAAUUGAAGGACGGGGUCUGUAAAAUGAACAGUAGAAAAAUGGAUAUCGCUUCUAUUUAUUGCCUCUUCCCAUAUUGCAGCUGCUGAUCUCUGACCCUAAACAGCAAACUACAUUAAAUUUAGAAGAACUACAGCUGUACACAGAUGCUGAAAAUGUGGAUGCACGGAACAUAUUCCAAUCCCUCGCUCGUUCUGAACUAAUAUAAAAAAAGUUAUAGAUCAUUUUUCGAUUAAAAACAUACAUUACAAAGAACGACUCUGAAAGCACUCCGUAUUUCUGUCAUCACAAAUUAGAACGCCUUCCUAUCAGUGGAUGAACCUAUUCUACUGCAAUAAAUGAAAAAAUAAAAUGAAAUAAAAGUAAGUGCCAGAAUCUUAAUUAAUACUCAGGUAAGGUAAUUGUCAGGUAGAACAGUCUUUAGGGAACUUAUAGCUAAAUGGGGUCAGAUUUCAGUCUCUCAAACCCGCAGCUUAGCGCAGACAGGGAAAUCACAAGCCUGGAAUAGGCUGUAAGCACAGAGUACUCCCGUCCACUUAUCAAGUCAGUUCUGAAACCUCUGGAAUUUCUAAGAUAUAAGAUAAAUGCAUAUUACAUGGGACAUAUUUAAAAGUAUUACACUUAAUUUAAUCCAGAAAACACAGUAGUAUUAUAGGAAGAUUAUUACUGUGUUCUGGGAGCAGCCACAAGCUGUAGAUAGAGGGUACAAAAUGUUCACCAGACGUUACAUUUUUUUUCUUUUAAAUCUAAAAAACAUUUUUAAAAUGUACUUGAUUUUUAAAUAAUCACUUAACAAGGCAACAAACCAACUACAAACACAUAAUAAAUAAGGCUAUUAAAAGACCACAACUGUAGUAAAUUAGUCAGAACUAUAAAUGGGACAUUAGAAACACUAUGUUUUGUUCUUAUAUGCUUAAUAACCAGAACAAGAAUUAAAAAAAGAAUCAGUUUAUUUCAAAGUCUGCUUCUUAUAUUGAAGCACAUAUUAAAGCAACAGUACAAUGUUCAUAAAAUAUAAGUGUGAUGCUGUAACAUUUCUUACAUGUCAGAAUACUGAUAUUUGUAUGUAUACUAAAAUAAGAAUUUUAAAAUUGUACAAAUAGAUACAUUAAAAAUGACAUAGAAAUAGGGCGCCUCCCACUGCAACAAGACAGAGUUUUUAUAUCUGGCACGUAUUAGUUCAAGAUGAAAGUAUAAGCAAAAAGAUUUACAAGAAUCAGCUGUAACAAGUUUUGAUGCUCAAGAGACAUAAUAAUUGUACAUUGUACUGUACAUACAUCAUAUGGGUUUAAGCUGGCUGAAUAUUAUAUAUUUCAAGUUUAAAAAUGCACUACCAUAUAGAGUGUCCAUAGUUUAAGGCGAAAUUACAGCUCAGAACUGUUAACUUUUCUAAUUUGUGGAAGCUUCUUUGACAUAAAAGAUUUAGAUGUUCAUAACACAUAAAAGAUUUCCCUUAUUUGUGGGUUCACUUUUAGCAUUUUCCUUCAUUUAAAUAUUCUGUAUUUCUUAAGUGGGUUUUUUCCUCUAGUGAAGUUGGCAGCCAACUUCUGUAUUUGCCUUCUGUAGGAAAAGGUACUUCACAGUAUUUACCACUUUUAUGUCCUUUUUUAUCAAAGGAAUCCCUUCUGUCAAAUGUUUAAAUGAGACUUUUCUUGAUUUUUAAAAAAAUACCUGCUUACAUUUCUUCUGGAUUCUUCAGAACAUUGGACACAGUUCUUAAGGCCAAAUAUUAAACUUUAUUGUUAAGAAUCAUCAUCGAAAGUGUCUUUGGAGCCAUACAAGUCUGCAAGUUUCUUAAAUCGAGGUCCCCAGUUUUGUAGAUAGUCGUAGUCCAAAUCAGAAUCUGUUGUCGCUGACUCUAAUGAGCUAAGUGAACCAGCCACUGAGCCUCUUCCUUCAUAGCCAUAGAUCUGAAUAGAAUCAUACGGAGGAGCAGUUGGAUCGUUAUCAGCCUCUUGUAUUCUUGUGUUGAUGAAAUCAUCAACAUCAACGCUAUUGGGAGCUGGUCGAAGCCCCGGUCUUGGCAUAUACUGAUACUCAGGUUUUAUGUCUUUACGAGGAAUAAAUCCAUUGAUGCCAUCAGGGUUCUGCAAAGUAGCUAUGUCAAAAGCUUCAGUAUCUUCCUCUCCUCCUCCUUCAUCAUCGUAAGUAAUAAUGUUCUCGCGGACAUCUUCUUCUUCAAAAACAAUGAGAGGUUCUUUCUUCUGCCUUUUCAGUGUUACAAACAACACUACAAUGACAAGCAAAAUCACAAUGCAAGCAAGAAUGGCAAUUAAAGCUCCGGUGCUUAAUCCCGCAUUGAGUAUGUAGGCUUCGGCAUUACAGGAGAGCAAGGAGCCAUUGCUGUCACAGCCGCAGACUCGGAUGGUCAGGGUGUUGGUGCUGCUCAUAGGGGGGAGUCCUCCAUCACUUAUUACAAUAGGAAGAAGGUAUAAGUCUUGCUUUUGACGACUAAAUCCUUCGCGUCUAACAAGAACACUUGCAGUGUUAUCUCUGUUGUCUCUGAGGGUAAAAUUUGGAUUAUGAAUAAUUUCGGGUGGUAAACUGAAGAUAAAUCUUGGUCCAUUGGCUGAGUCAUCUUUGUCAUCAGCACUAAUUGUAAUAAAUUGCUGAUUGCUUCGAGCAUUCUCACAGACAAACGCUUCAUAGGCUGCUGCAAAUUUUGGAGCAUUGUCAUUGACAUCAACAACCUUAAUUGCAACUGGAACUUUGGCUUCCUGGUGUUGCUUGUGGACUUCAACAGCAAAGACAGAGAUAUUAUGCCAAGCAAUUUCUUCCCUAUCCAAAGCUUUUAUUGUCUUGAUGUUGCCAUCAUCUGCAUUAAUAGUAAAAUAUCUUUCAAGGUCAGUGUGACGAUCAAUUGAAUACCUUAUAGCACUGUUUGCAGCAUCAGGAUCUUUGGCAUGUACUUUUCCAACCACAGUACCAGAUGCUGCAUUUUCUUGUACUUCAAAAAUAUAACUUGGUUUUAAAAACACAGGCGGCUCAUCAGCGUCUUCCACUGUAAUCUUCACUGUUACUGUGUCCUUGAAUGGCCCAUUGCUGAUGAACUUUGGAUCAAUAUGCACGUUGGCUGCCUCUACCUUCAGGCUGUAGGACUUUUUGGUUUCAAAAUCCAAGACUUUCUUAAGCUUUACAACACCUUCCUGAGUCUCAUAGUCUGUUGUAAUUUCAAACAUAUCCAUGCCAUCUCCAUCAAUGAUGCUGUAAGCUACCAAGCCGUUUUCCCCAAUGUCUGGAUCUUUGGCCUUCACUCUUCCUACUUCCUCUCCAGGAACAGCUGCUUCUGACACAGACAUCUGGUACACACUCUGUGGAAACUUUGGUGGGUUGUCAUUGACAUCUGUAAGUGUAAUUGUCACUUUGGUUGUCCCUGAGAGGCCUCCCAUGUGUCCUCCCAUAUCUUUUGCCUGUAUUACAACGUGAUACUCUUCCUUAGCUUCUCUGUCCAUAUUUGGAAGGGCCGUUCGGAUAAUUCCUGUUUGAGCUUCCACUGAGAAGUACGGCUGACCUUCAAGAAUACUGUAAACCAAUUUGGCACUGUUCCCAUAUGUAGGAUCAUCAGCAUCUGAAGCUGUUACCUGAAUAACAGAUGUACCCACAUUUGAUCUCUCUGGCACAUUGGCAUGGUAGUUUUCGUGAAGAAAUUCAGGGGGGUUGUCAUUGAUAUCUUGGACUUUAACAAUGAAUUCUGAGGGCGGUUCCAAAGGUCUGUUGGUGUUCCUGUCUACAGCUUGUGCCGUGAGAGUGUACUGAGCUCUCUCCUCUCGGUCCAGUGUCUUUGUUGCAUGGAUGUUCCCUGAUUUGUCAUCAAUAACAAAAAUGAUUCCUGCUCCUUCACCUGAGAGAAUGUAUUUAAUGUUUCCAUCUCCAGAAUCAAUAUCUGAAUGAAGCCUUCCCACUAGUACAGGAUCUGGUCCUGUGUACUCUUCUAUAACAAAGAACUGAUUCCACACCCAGCCUCUUUUUGAACGAUGCAAAACUUGUCCUUCUUUUCCUUUUUCAUGGUGACCAUGAAGCGAUGGCCGUACGUGGUUUAGUUUUUCGGUAGUUAUGGCAUGGCUGUAAUAGAGCAUGCCCAGGCAGAUAAGAGCGGCAUGUAAACAAUUGUCCUCCUUCAUUUUUGGUUAUUUUGUAGGCACAGGAGUAUCCAAGAAUAUACCCCUUCCACCUUGGAAGUUAACAAGUUUCGGGCCACUGAAAAGUUUCAGAUAAAAUGUUCUGCACAUACGCUGCCACCGCACCUGGAAUGCAUCACUUUAAUGCUCUGCAGCUUCCCAACUUAAUUCCUGCCCGCCCGGCCCCGCGCUGCUGCCGUUAAGUUUGCUGCGCACCCACGCGCGGACACGCACGCAUCCUCCCGCCCGGUGCUGCUGCUGUUGCUGCGCGCUACGGGAGAGCAGCGCUCCCGCGGCCGCCCGUUCGCUCCGCCAAACCGACGCGGCUCCGCGCUGCUCCCGCGGCUCCGGGCAGUGCCUACCUGCGCGUCCAGCGGGGCUGGAGGCUUCCCGGGGCCACCUCCGGAGGAGGGGGAGAGGAGGCAAGUCCCAUUCACAACUAGACGCCGAGCAGAGGCGGCAGCAUCUUCAGCCUAUUACACUCCACCGGCAGCGGCUGCUGAAUGAGGCUCCGAGCUAGUGGCAGGAAUUAGAAAGAGGGAGGGAGGGGAAAGGGGUGAGGAAAGAGGAGAGGGAGGGAGAGAGAAGGAGCAAGGGGGAGCGAAGCGAGAUGAGAGGAAGGGAGAAGCUGGAGGCUGUUGCUUCUUCUCUAUUUCCUUCUCCCUUCCCCCCAGCCCAGAGGGAAGCGAACCCCCGAGCCCGCCCAGGGGCCGCGCCCCGGAGUGCCCGCGACGGGAGAAGCGCAGCUGGGGGAGAGGGGCUGCGGAGCCCACACACGCGCGCACGGCUCUGCUCGGCUGCUCUCGGCCUCGCGGGCACCCACGCGCGUCCACGAGGGGACGGGGCCGCCCACCCCGCUGUGCCGACGGGACGUGCCCCUUCCCAACCCUGCCGCCACCCCUCUGCGGACGGCUCGGGACCACCCCACGGCAGCGCCUCCGCGGGUGGGCCCGAGCCCACGCAGAGCCCUGGGCACGGCCGACAUCACGGGGCUCUGCUGCCCGGACACACCUCGACACGGACAUAAAGCACCUCGGGUGGACGAGCAGCAGGAGCGCCGUGUGCUGAACGCACUCGCGUUUCCUCACAUAAUUACACAUUUCUCCAGGAAAAAAUUAAAACUUUCCCAAGCUUUUUCUACACAUGGAAGAUCUCAGCCUGCGCAGCCCAGAGCCCUCGAGACGCAGGGGUGAGCCCUCCCUUCCUUACACGAAGGUAAAUCUCGGGGCACGCUGCCCAGGUGGGGCAGAGCCGCUCGGCUCCUGUGUGGCAGACGCCCUGUGCCAACCCAGCGGCACCACAGCCACCCCCCGCCCCGCCACCACACAGGCACACACCGGCCUGCGAGACGUGCUCAGCUCCCUCACGGCACCGAGGUCCGCUCACUCGGAGGCUCAACACAGCGCAGGGAGGGAUGUGAUGCACACACAGCCCAUCGAGAAUCAGUCUGGAAAUGGCCAGGUGCACCUCUGUGAAAAGAAUCUGCCUGUCCUCAGGCAGCCCGCCUGCCCGCCCGCUCAUCCCCCACGCCACCAGGCAGCACUGCUCCGCGAUCGCACUGCUCAGCCCUGAAGAACAAGGCUUUUAUAUGCUGUGGUUAAUUAGCUCUGCCAAUAACUCCAGGCAAAGAAAAAAAAAAAAAAACUGGCACAAAAAGCUCCCACUGUACAAACAAAGAAUUUGGAAGGAGGGAAGCUGAUAAACAAUGCAUCCCAGGGAGGCCGGCAGGCACUGAACUCAGCCCAGCAAGCAGCAAGCACCAGGGCCUGGUGUCAGCCCUGGGGAAGGAGCAGCAGCUUCCUCCUGUCUGCAGGGCUGGGGAUUGAGAAUUAAAGCUACCAUUUGCUUCAGAGAGAUGCUGAGAGUUCCCAGUUCAUCCCACGGAGGAAGCAGGGCCUGCCUGCAUCCUGAGGAAGCCUGGGGUGCCCUGACAUCCAGGCCCUGAGCAUGGUGCCCACCAGCCACAGGGACAGCAGAUGCUGCAGGGAGCUCAGAGCUUGGGGCUGGCACUGGAAACACCAGAAAUACCCUGGGCUGAGCUGAGAGCGUGAGGUAACCAGACAGCUAAUUAACUGAUACUGAAGUACUAAAGGCUUUAUUUGGAUAGGAAAAAAGCUGUGGUGGUAAGAGAACCAGCUCCAGGGAACAAGUGGUUUUUGAUAGGAAAUGUGAAGAGUAAUAAAUUACUAUCGAGAAAUAAAGCAUGAAAAGAAUAGCAUUUGAGAAAGUUUUUGAGGAGAAGUAGCUGAGGAAGAGAGGUGAUGCACACUAAUUUAGAACAGUUUGUCAAGAAAUUGGUUUUGGAGAGAAAACAUGAGAGGAACGGAAACAUCUCAAAAUAGUUUCAUACAAUCCCAGCCCAAACCUAUUGACUUCAGUGUGUCAUCAGUCUCCUGUGACAAUAAUAUGAGAAUUACCAUUUGUUUUCUUUAUGGGCACAACGCAGCAGCUCUACUUAGCACAGCUCUGCUGCUGGGGCUGCCAAAAUCACCACUUCACUGAAGCCCAGGCGCUGGGCAGUUGGCUGAAGAAUUUUCCCUUUUUCCCUUCUCCUGCUGGCUUCAGCAGCACAGUGGAGGGGAUGACUUUUGUAAUUCCCUUUUUCAAACUGCUGAGAUCAGGGUUUUUUUUGGAUAUAAAGGAAAUGUGAAAGCAAUUUCAAUCUAAUUAAGCAUAUACAAUAGGUACCCAUAAUAUUCUCUAGUCAAAGAGCGUAUUGAUCUAUAAUGGAAGGUUUCAUUAAUUCCAUUUGAGGAGGCAUGUUAACAAAUGAGGGCAGUAACAUCUGAUCUGGUGAGUGCCUCGAGUUUCCUCUCUUCUUUCUGCACUAAAAUCUCAGAAUUAAGCUAACCAGAUCAAAUAUUAUUUUUCUUUUAUUUGUCCAUCUUCUUAUAGGACCUACGGAUGGAAGGUCCUAUCUGCACAAUUAACGCAGAACUCCUACUGAAAUCUGUGUGUUUGCACCACUCUGCUGAGUUUCAAUUCUGACUACGUUAAUAAUUAGAAUUGUACGUAAUGUCAGUAAGAAGAAGUCCCUCUAUCCAGAUUGGGCCACUAGCUGGAGAUACCACUCUCUAUACACUGAAAGUUCUCAACCACUAGCUUACACUGGAAACCUGCCUACAACCAUCUGAAGUUAGAUGAGAUGAGUCCUGCUUUUUAUGUUAGAUACAGAAGAAGAAAGAAGUCGUCAAACCAAAACCAAUAUGUGGUGCUGAUAGAUGAGGACAUUCACCAUAUUCCCUUGACUACAGAUUAUAUUCAGGCAACAACCCUGCCAUAAUUUCAGGAAAACAACUGCAGAGUCCUUGCACAAGACAUGACAGCAGUUCACAUAAAGAGAAACAGGCAGGGAGGAAGGGGUAACCAGGAACAUCCACAGAAAUACACAGCUGAAGUUCUAGCAGCCCAGUGCUCAAGUGUGCACUCACAACGUGAUAGACAGAGAACUUCACAGACUGCCCAAGUCGUGCCUUGUCAUUCCUAUCACACAUAAAGGUGAGGAAAAGAGGAUAAACUAUUGCAAAGUUCUGUGUUUGCAGACCAUUUCUCCUGACUAGUAACUCUUCACCUGUAAAGCCUUAGGCUAGAUACUACCUUUAUGAAGGUCAUGUCGCAGCCAAUGUAAAUUCAUUGUGGACAGUAUCAGAAUAAACCCAGCUUAAAAUGGGAAAUCCUUCCAAAUACAAUCACCACCUGUCUUUACAAAACAUUUACAUGUGGAACAAAAAGCAGGCCUCAGCUAUCCUGCCGCCCUGGAAGUCAUGGCAGAGCAGCAGGGGUGUACAGGAAGGUCUGCAGUUACCACUUACAGAUGCUUGAAACCUGGUAGCAAAAUGCAAUCAGUGUUAGACAUAAAUAAAGGAAGUUUAUACAUAUUUUAAACAGUACCUAUUUUUGGAUAUCCAUAUAUUUAGGUUAAGAACAUCUGUGAUAACAGAUCUGCGAAACCUAAAAAAAAAAAGAUUCCUUUACCUACUGUGGGCUUACAGAAUCUGAAGUUAAAAUCCUGCUCAUUGUUUGGUAAGUUAACUCAUUUAUCAUUUCAAAAUAAGCUAGCUGGUUUGCUUCCUCAGUAUCUGAAGGGGUACAUGCACUUCUGCUAAUUGAAUCAUUGUUCUUGGAAACACUGCAGCUGAGUUCAUGAAAUACACAUAAGCAGGUGUAUCGUAAGUUUAAGCUGAGCAUUUGUAUUAGAAUUCAUAUGGAAAACCUUGAACUGUGAACUUCAGAAAUGGAAGUCCAAUAAGCCUUCCACAGUUCAAAAGAUUUCAUCAGCGUCUCAUUUACUGAAUACCUUAGGCACACCAACACAAUAAAUGUGAAAGAAGACUCUUCUUUCCAUGUUUUGACCCUCUUUUUCCAGGCCCUACAAGCUGUUUUCCCAUAUGACUUCAACUACCUUCAAAAGACCUGUAAUUUCCUUCACUUUUCUUCUCGCUUGGAAAGUAUUUGAGAUUUUAAAGGGCAUAUUGCUAGCAGCAGGAGCUGGGAGUUCAGGAAGAAGAGAGACGGUGAAAAAGAAGUAUAGAAAAGAGUCAUAGUAAAAGAUAUUCCAUAGACUAAACAACGUGUUUGUUCCAAACGUCCUUCAAAUUCAGAAACAAAGCAAAAUUUGCUUCCUACGUGAAAAUACAUAAAGCAGGACUGAAGGAGAUAGGAAAAAAAAUCUUCCUAGUGACCCUAAAAGAGGGAAAACUAAUGAAAGCCACAGUACUAGCACACUGAGAACACAAGUAUGCAAAAGAUGAAUGUAACUUACAAAAUGUGCAUCUUAUAGAAUGUACAGUUCAAAACAACCAUUAUCUAAAGCUGUAUUUUUGUGUGGGUUUUUUGUUGUUUUGUUUUUUGUUUUUGUUUUUUUUUUUUGUUUUGUUUUUAAUAAAAACCUCUUCCUUGUGGAAAUAUAAGAAUAUUGUUGUUAUAACAACAAAGUAUUGUUACGUUCUGAUAUCCUUGGGAAAGGUUAAAACAAAGGCAAAAACACCAAAAAAAAAAAAAAAAAGUGCAAAACAACAGAUAAAGAAGCUAUCUCCACAAAGAUAACAAUAUACCAGCAUAUUCCUUGAAGCACUGAAACCUGGAAAGAAAAGGGGAUUUUGAAGUAGGAAGAGCCAGCGAACUAUGGAAAUACAAAUGGGUGCUCCAUAGUUUUGUUUUGUUUUCAUUCCAGAUGUACACAUGGACCUUCCUUUCAACGCACCAGCUCCAUAGAGAAAUCAUCAGCUUGAAUCACCUAUUCCAAGUGGUACUCAGGACAGAACUCUCACAAGCAGGAUUGAUGACAUAUCAAGCAGGAUUGAUGGCAUAUCCAAAUCCAAAUUUGGAGUUUGGUUAUUGCCUUUAUCUGUCUACUGCAAGAAAAGGCCUCAUUCCUGUACCAGAGCAAAAGAAACUUUCCUUUUCUUUCCUUUAAACUACUGAUAGAGUCUGGUCUGAUGGCAUUCCACAUUUUAACUCACCUUCAUAAUGAAGAUAAAAUUCCUCAUUUUCAGUCAAACUCAAGUGGCCAGACAUGGGCCACAGGAUAACAAUGUGUCUAUCCAUCAAAGACAGCAAAACUGAAUCCAAAUUCGUUCAAGCUGCAGUAGAAGAAAAGUCCAUUUUCCUCCAGUUUUCAGAGAUCUUUUAAAGAUAGGUCUGGUUUUAUUAAGACCUUGAUGAGAGGAGCUCCCUUGUUGUACAAAAUCUAAGGAAGUGGUUUGGCAGGUACUGAGCAUACACAAUUAGAUAUUUCUAUCAUUCUCUGAACUUUGAGACCAUCUUACCCUGAACAGCCCUGAGGAUAUUUUGGGACUAUUUUGAUCAGUUUUAGAAACUGCCAUAGCAUCCUGGCCAUUGUGCCACUUCCUCAGCUCUGCUGCAAUGUACGUAAGACCAGGCAGGACUGGACUAGUUACCUGUUGUGUUGUGAAGAGGUGUGUCAAGCUCAGGAAAUUUCCAAGGGCAUCCAAAAAAGCCUUUUAGUUUCCUUGGGUUACAGAGCAGGUUCAAUCCAGGAUCAAGCUCCAGAUGGGUUGUUUGUACAGCACUGAAAAACAUUAUCAAAGAAUAGUAUUAAUAAAGACGUUAAAUUUAAAACUACUACACACACAGAGUCUGCUGACCAAUGCAGAUCUGAACGAUAGAAUAUUUACAGUUACAACCUAGCACCCCAAAAUUACGGCAUAGAAGUAUUCAGAGGGAGGAAAAAGGGCUCGAAUGGUAAGUCAGAAAAUCUUCAUAAACAUUGUGAUGUAUCAAUGGCUUUCACUAAUGGGUUUUUAGAAAUACAGAUCAGAAAAUUAGAUUUCUCACUUAAUCAAGGUAUUAUUUAGUUAGGAACUUCAGGCUCAUUUAUUUCUGGCACUGCACAUCAAAAAAAGAAAUGCAUUUUUAUACAUGUGUGUAUGUACACACACCUGUGCAUAUGGCACUGUCUGAAUGGGUUGUCAAGAAGGAUGAGGACUUCAAAUAAAUUCCUCUAUUCAGCUUCUGGUUUUAAUGGAGAAGAUAGCUUAUAUAAUUUAUUCUAUUAGAAAACAAGUUGGAAAAAAAAUCACUACAUCUACCUGCACAGCUUCAACACUCG